RNAcentral lists this unclassified non-coding RNA (391 nucleotides) under soil metagenome. Its description in RNAcentral is "partial contains 5.8S ribosomal RNA, internal transcribed spacer 2, and large subunit ribosomal RNA". The stretch from base 1 to 122 matches the Rfam family "5.8S ribosomal RNA", at positions 35 to 154 of the family's 154-position model. The record is from RNAcentral.
GAUGAAGAACGCAGUGAAAUGCGAUACUUGGUGUGAAUUGCAGAAUCCCGUGAACCAUCGAGUCUUUGAACGCAAGUUGCGCCCGAAGCCACUAGGCCGAGGGCACGCCUGCCUGGGCGUCACACGUCGUUGCCCCCCCAUCUACUCCUUCGGGAUUGCGGGGGGGCGGAUGAUGGCCUCCCGUGCGCCUAGCCGCGCGGUUGGCAUAAAUACCAAGUCCUCGGCGACGCACGCCACGACAAUCGGUGGUUGCGAAACCUCGGUUGCCCGUCGUGUGCGUUCGUCGCGCAUCGAGGGCUCGAAAAAAUGCUCGGCUUCGGCUCGGCUUUCAACGCGACCCCAGGUCAGGCGGGGUUACCCGCUGAAUUUAAGCAUAUCAAUAAGCGGAGGA